Molecule: long non-coding RNA, 5265 nt
Filed under: Homo sapiens (human)
Lineage: Eukaryota; Metazoa; Chordata; Mammalia; Primates; Hominidae
Description: HSALNT0002147
Source: RNAcentral
CCCAACCCCAGACUGCAAGUAGCCACUCAUUCAUUCCACAAAUACUCUCUGAGGGCCUGUUCUAUGCAGGCUAUGUGCCAAGGGUUUACACCCUAGGAGCAGUGCCACCCCAGUAUCUGUCCCCCGUGACCAGUGACUGCCCCUCCUCUAUAAUAUCUAUUGACUGACCUCUCUGACCUCACCUCAUUUCUUUCCUCCAGUGCCCCGGCUCCAGCAGUCCAUGGAUCCUGCCCCCUUUGCAUGUCCCUCAGCCUGCCUGCCCUCCGUGUCCUUCCUGCCCAGCCUACAAUUCAUGGUCAGGCCCCACCCCCACCCCCUCCUGCGGUCCUGACAAAACCCCAACACUGGUCAGUCCCACUGCUCCACCUCCACCGCAUCUCACCUGCACUUGCGCAGCUCAAUGUCACACCACCUUGCCAGCUGCUUCCCUUUCAACUCAUGACACAAAACCCAAGAGGGCCCUUAGUGGAUGUCAGGAUCAGUCACUGUCCCCAUGACCCUUGCACCCCUCUUUUCUCCUCUCUAUAAAAUAAGGGUGAUAAUAUUUCUGUCUCCCGGGGCUGUUGGCAGCAUCAGUAGUAGGUCCUUGCUCGGGGGCAGCUACUGGGGUUAGUUCCUCUGGUGCUCAGUCCAAGAGUUCCCUGGUGUCUUGGUGUCCGCGGAGUCCCACCCUGCGGUCAUUUAUUUUGUUCCGCUGGUUGGGCAGGCCUGGGCUCUCUGCCAGAUCUGAUCAUCCUCCCAGAGACAGGAGGGAACGGAAUGUGGCACCAGGCAGUAAGACGCAUGGCUGAGCUCAGCAGGAGAGGGAAGCUUCCAACUUCCUGCAGCGAAUGUCCUAGGUGAUAGGUCAAGUCUGACCCCGCCAGUGAGGCCAACAUGGAAACUUACUAGGGCCUCGAAAAGGUGUGUGUGGGAGUUCAGAGAGGAGUGGAGACAGCCGGCCUCCCAAUCUGGACCCACAGGGCAGGGCAGGGAGAGGAGAUGGCCCCGCCUCCAGGAAUCCAGGCUGCACCUCCCUCCAGGGAACUCAGAUCAAAGCCAGGAGGAAGGAGGAGUGUGAACUUUGCACCCAGUGACUCACUGCAUCCCCCUAGGGCAAGUGCUCUCACCCGUGCAGAAUCCUGCCCUCCUUGCCACUGACGGGACCAUCCGCACUGGGUCAGCCUAUGAGCAACACUGACCUGAUUCACCUGCACGCCUUCAUUCCCCCACCUUCAUCCUCCUCCUCGCAGAGGUGAUCAGAUGUUUGCAGGUGCCUGCCUGUGUUUACAAAAUCCAUCCCAGGAAACCACAUGACAUUUGGUCAUCUGCCAUUGCAUUCCUUUACGUGUAUGAUCAAGUGGUUCCCUGAGGGCUUUGAUGAUCAGGGCAGAGGCAGAAGGCACCACCUCAAUCUGGGCCUGUCUGUUCUGAAUGGUCAGUUUCACUGUAAUCCUCAGGCCCUUCCGGUAACCCGUUGCCUUGGCAAUGUUAUCACCAACCUUUUUUGGAGACAGACCCAGGGGGCCGAUCUUGGGGGCCAGCGCAGAAGCAGCGACUUCACCUCCAGUGCACCUCAGCCUCACUGCCACCCUGCGUGGUGCGUGGGCCGGAAUGACCCUUCCCCUCUUGCAGUUUGGAGAAGUUGAGGACCCGUGUGAACCCUGAAAUCAUUCAUGCCCGGGCUCCCCGUUCGCCAGCCCAUGCUGCCCUCUAGUGGUUGUGUGCGCACCUGCCUUUAGGGAGUCCAGGACAGCCGGGACAACCAGCUCAUCUGCAGACAGCAGUGGCCAGCCUUCCCAGGCUGCGCAGGGGACCCUAGGCAGGGACCGUCCCCCUCAGGACCCUUCCAGCACUGCAUGCCUUCACCAGCUCCUCUUCCUGUCUCGCAGCAUCUGGUUUAGAUGCAUAGAUAGAUGUAUUAUAUACGUAUAUUUUAAUUGUGCUAAAAUACAUGUAAAAUUUACCAUCGCAACUAACUGUACGGUUUCAUGGCAUUAAGUACCUUCACACUGUUGGGCAACCAUCACCACCAUACAUCUCCAGAACUAUUUUUUUUUUUAAGACAAAGUCUUACUGUGUCACCCAGGCUGGAAGCGCAGUGGUGCAAUCUUGGCUCACGACAACCUCUGCCUCCUGUGUUCAAGUGAUUCUCCCACGUCAGCCUCCCAAGUAGCUGGAACUACAGGUGCCCGCCACUCCACCUGGCUAAUAUUUUAUUUUAUUUUAUUUUUGAGACAGACUCUCUCUCUGUCGCCCAGGCUGGAGUGCAGUGGCGCGAUCUCGGCUCACUGCAAGCUCCGCCUCCUGGGUUCAGACCAUUCUCCUGCGUCAGCCUCCCGAGUAGCUGGGACUACAGGCGCCUGCCACCACACCCGGCUAAUUUUUUGUAUUUUUAGUGGAGACAGGGUUUCACCCUAUUAGCCAGGAUGGUCUCAAUCUCCUGACCUCGUGAUCCGCCCGCCUCGGCUUCCCAAAGAGCUGGGAUUACAGGCGUGAGCCACCGCGCCCGGCCCCUACCUGGCUAAUUUUUGUAUUUUUAGAGAGACAAGGUUUCACCAUGUUGGCCAGGCUGGUCUCGAACUCUGGCCAGCUUUUUUUUUUUUUUUUUUUUGACAGGGUCUCACUCUGUCACCCAGGCUGGAGUGCGACUUCGACCUCCCAGGCUCAGAUGACCCUCUUACCUUAACCCCUAGAGUAGCUGGAACUACAAGCGCAUGCCACCAUGCCUGGCUAAUUUUUUGUAGAGACAGGGUUUUGCCAUGUUGCCCAGGCUGGUCUUGAAUUCCUGGGCCCCAGCGAUUCGCCUGCCUUGACCUCCCAAAGUGCUGGGGUUACAGGCGUGAGCCACUGCGCCCAGCCUCCAGAACGCUAUUCUCCUUCCCAAACUGAAACUCUGCCCCCAUUAAACACUAAGCUCCUCAUUCCUAUUUCCCCCCAGUUCCUGGAAACCUCUGUUCUACAUUGUCUUUAUGAAUCUGACUAGAUACUCAUAUAAGUGGAAUCAUACAGUGUCUGUCCUUUUGUGUCUGCCUAUUUCACUGAGCACAAUGUUGUCAAGGUGUAUUCACAUUGUGGCAUGUGUCAGAAUGCCAUCCUUUUUUUUUGUUUGUUUUUUUGAGAUGGAGUCUCACUUUGUUGCCCAGGCUGGAGUGCAGUGGCACGAUCUCAGCUCAUCACAACCUCUGCCUCCUGGGUUCAAAUGAUUCUUCUUCCUCAGCCUCCCCAGUAGUUGGGACUACAGGUGUGUGCCACUAUGCCUGGCUAAUUUUUGUAUUUUUAGUAGAGACGGGGUUUUACCAUGUUGGCCAGGCUGAUCUUGAACUCCUGAUCUCGUGAUCCGCCUGCCUCAGCCUCCCAAAGUGCUGGGAUUACAGGUGUGAGCCACCACGUGUGGCCUUUUUUUUUUUUUUUUUAGACGGAGAUCUCGCUCUGUCACCCAGGCUGGAGUGUAAUGGCACGAUCUCGGCUCACUGCAACCUCCGCCUCCUGGGUUCAAGCGAUUCUCCUGCCACAGCCUCCUGAGUAGCUGGGAUUACAGGCGUGCACUACCACAGCUGGCUAAUGGCUAAUUUUUGUAUUUUUAGUACAGAUGGGAUUUCACCAUUUUGGCCAGGCUGGUCUCGAACUCCUGACCUCAAGUGAUCCACCUGCCUCAGCCUCCCAAAGUGCUGGGAUUACAGAUGUGAGCCACCGCACCCAGGCUGCCAUCCUUUUUAAGGUUGAAGAAUCUUCCAUUGUCUGGAGAGACCACAUCUUGUCAUCCGUUCUUCUGUUCAUGGACACUUGGUUCCUUCCCCCUUUUGGCUAUUGCUGGAGUGCAAUGCCGUGAUCUCGGCUAACCACAACCUCCGCCUCCCAGGUUCAAGCGAUUCUCCUGCCUCAGCCUCCCGAGUAGCUGGGAUUACAGGCAUGCGCCACCACACCUGGCUAAUUUUGUAUUUUUUGUAGAGACAGGGUUUCUCCACAUUGGUCAGGCUGGUCUCAAACUCCCAACCUCAGAUGAUCCGCCCUCCUUGGCCUUCCAAAGUGCUGGGUAUAUAGGCAUGAGCCACCACGUCUGGCCUAAGAAGGUUAAAGUCAAAAGCAACACCACUCAGCAGCUGUCCUGAACACGCAUCUCAGGGCCACCCACACAAAUGAGAAUGUCUCCUGCAGCUGCUGCUGCGUCGCCCCCAAUCACAGCUGUAGAUAUAAAGGGAUCGAGUCACUGAACCAUACAAUCACCCCGCUUUCUGACAGCACACAUCCAGAGCAAACCCACACUUCCUUAAAUCUUUCUCCAAAUCCGAUACCAGCACUAACACUGCUUUUGGAGAUGCCCUGGCUUCCCCGUGCUGUGUGGCCUCCCUUGCCACAGCAAGCAUAAUAAACCCAAAUUUGUUGACUGCAGGCGUGUUCCUGGUGGUCUGAUUGACAGGCAUCAACGUGACCAUGGAGGGAGUGACGGCUAGAGAAUUUCAGGGUUCACAAGAUGAAGCCAGUGACUCAUGAACUAAGCUGAAAUCUCUCAGCCUAAUACUUCCCUUUCUCUCACAGCAACUCUCCAUGAUAGAUUAGAACUGUUCCAACUUGGCUGGGCAUGGUGACUCACGCCUGUAAUCCCAGCUAUUUGGGAGGCCAAGGUGGGAGGAUUGCUUGAGCCCAGGAGUUUGAGACCAGCCUGAGCAACAUAGUGGGACUCCAUCUCUAUUUAUUUAUUUAUUUAUUUUGAGAUGGAGUUUUGCUCUUGUUGCCCAGGCUAGAGUGCAAUGGCGCGAUCUCAGCUCACUGCAACCUCCACCUCCCAAGUACAAGGGAUUCUCCUGUCCCAGCCUAUCAAGUAGCUCAUAUUACAGGCAUGUGCCACCAGGCCCGGCUAACUUUUUUGUAUUUAGUAGAGAUGGGGUUUCAUCAUGUUAGUCAGGCUGGUCACGAACUCCUGACCUCAGGCUAUCUACCCGCCUUGGCCUCCCAAAGUGCUGGGAUUACAGGCAUGUGCCACCGUGCCUGGCCUCUUUUUUUUUUUUUUUUGAGACGGAGUCUCGCUCUGUCACCAGGCUGGAAUGCUAUGGCGCAAUCUCGGCUCACUGCAACCUCCGCCUCUCAGGUUUAAGCAAUUCUCUUGCCUCAGCCUCCUGAGUACCUGGGAUUACAGGUGCGCACCAACACACCCAGCUAAUUUUUUUGUAUUUUUAAUAGAGUCGGGGUUUCACCAUGUUGGCCAGGAUGGUCUUGAUCUCUUGACCUCGUGAUCUGCCUGCCUUGGCCUCCCAAAGUGUUAAAAUUACAGGCAUGAGCCACCAC